UUGGGAAGUCCGGGUUCCGGUCAGAGUCCAGAAAAAUGUGGGUGUUUGGUUAUGGGUCCCUCAUCUGGAAGGUGGAUUUCCCCUACCAGGAUAAGCUGGUUGGUUACAUCACAAACUACAGCCGGCGCUUCUGGCAAGGUAGCACUGACCACCGCGGGGUCCCCGGCAAGCCUGGAAGAGUUGUGACCCUUGUUGAAGAUCCUGGGGGCUGUGUAUGGGGUGUUGCUUACAAACUACCAGUGGGAAAAGAAGAGGAAGUAAAAACAUACCUUGACUUCAGAGAGAAAGGAGGCUACAGAACCACGACAGUCAUUUUUUAUCCGAAAGAUCCCACAACAGAACCAUUCAGUGUUUUGCUCUACAUUGGGACAUGUGACAAUCCUAACUAUCUUGGACCUGCACCUCUGGAAGAUAUUGCUGAGCAAAUUUUUAAUGCAGCUGGUCCAAGUGGAAGAAAUACAGAAUAUCUUUUUGAACUUGCAGAUUCUAUUAGGAAACUUGUGCCAGAAGAUGCAGACGAGCACCUCUUCUCUUUGGAAAAAUUAGUAAAGGAACGCUUAGACGGAAAAUAGAGCCUGGAUUGCACACACAGUCACCAACUCACCCAAAGAGGAAAGAGUUUUACUCUUCAGAAAAUAACAUCAGUAUAGAACAGCAGUAUGUUUUAGACAUUCUUACUUGAAGAUCAUACUAUUUAAUACUGUAAUUGGAACAUCAUCUAAAUUUAUGAUUUAUUUGCAAGUGUCCUAAAACAUAUUCAAGAGAUUUUAAUAAAGGAAAAGAAAGAGUUCAGGUUGUCUAAGUGAUUUCCUAUUUAUAUGACAUUUUAACAUUUGUUCACUAGAAAUACAGGUCUUGAUUAACUUCCUGUUUCUAUUAGAGUAACCAUGGUUUGUUGUAGAUAAGUUUAAAAUAAUGUUAUUAGAAAUAUAUGACAAGAGGUAAGGUUCCAGCAUUGAUUGUUAAUUUCCUUGUUAUUUGGAAUUAAAUGACCCUCAAAUUUAGGCCAAAAGAAAUUAGACUUUCUUAAUACUAAUUAUUCCUUUGGAAUUAUAAUAUAUUUUCUUCUCCUUUGGGGUAAAAAGGUAUUUUAUUACAAAGAAAAAUUAUAUAUAACUAUACAUAUAUCAAUUCACUAAUGAUAAUGAUAUUUAUUCUAUAUCUCAUAAUGAAACUUUAAAAUAAAAGAUAGGUUUUCUGGUGGAACUAUAAUAAAAAUUGUGUUU
This is a non-coding RNA of Arvicanthis niloticus (Nile rat), 1226 nucleotides long. NCBI's taxonomy places the organism in Eukaryota, Metazoa, Chordata, Mammalia, Rodentia, Muridae. The record is from RefSeq and is a predicted model, not a curated record.